GACUUAUAAAAUUUGGUAUGUAUAUAAAUUUGUGUGACGUCAUCACGUCAUUCAUUUGUGAAUAUAUAUCAUGCAGUGUUACCUAUCAAUAUUAAUCAGGGGGUAAGGGUGCGGGCAAUGGGUGGGGAUUUGACAAAAAAUUGGGUCAAAUGCCCGCUGGUGGGGCAUUCUAAGAUAAUCAAAUGUUUCAAAACAGACGCCCCCAGGGGAUAGAUCGAGGCAAAAUAUUUUAAUAACAUUGAAUAAAAGAGCCACAAAAAGCACCUGGGCAUCGUAAAUUUUAUCCCCAGAAACUAGACUAUGUACUGUAUUCAAAUUCCAAAAGGCCAGAGGACAGAAGUGGAAAUAAAAAAUAAAAAGUUUUUUCUCAAUUCUAGGCUCCAGGCUUCGUACUAAAAUUGCAUAUUCAAUUAUGUUGAAGGGCAAAUCGCCCACACCCUGGCAAAAAAUAUUUGUCAAAUGCCUGUCUGUGGGGAUAGAAUUCACGAUUAAAUCCCCACCCAUUGCCAACACACCCUUACCCCCAGAUUAAUAUUGAUAGGUGCAUUAAUUUGUUAACAGUUUAGUGG
Molecule: non-coding RNA, 569 nt
Organism: Paramuricea clavata
Lineage: Eukaryota; Metazoa; Cnidaria; Anthozoa; Malacalcyonacea; Plexauridae
Source: the annotation of a GenBank genome assembly